GAACCGGGACGUGGCGGU
This 18-nucleotide small nuclear RNA is filed under the name Arabidopsis thaliana (thale cress). Its description in RNAcentral is "snRNA_04776". Lineage: Eukaryota; Viridiplantae; Streptophyta; Magnoliopsida; Brassicales; Brassicaceae. The record is from RNAcentral.